UGUAUGGAACAAGGAUCCGCCUAUUUUCU
RNAcentral lists this non-coding RNA (29 nucleotides) under Mus musculus (house mouse). Lineage: Eukaryota; Metazoa; Chordata; Mammalia; Rodentia; Muridae. The record is from RNAcentral.